Molecule: ribosomal RNA, 478 nt
Filed under: uncultured anaerobic ammonium-oxidizing bacterium
Lineage: Bacteria
Description: bacterial SSU rRNA
Rfam family: Bacterial small subunit ribosomal RNA
Source: RNAcentral
UUCGCAAUGCCCGAAAGGGUGACGAAGCGACGCCGCGUGCGGGAAGAAGGCCUUCGGGUUGUAAACCGCUGUCGGGAGUUAAGAAAUGCAAGGAUAUUAAUAGUGUCUUUGUUUGACUAAGGCUCCGGAGGAAGCCACGGCUAACUCUGUGCCAGCAGCCGCGGUAAUACAGAGGCGGCAAGCGUUGUUCGGAAUUAUUGGGCGUAAAGAGCACGUAGGCGGCUAUGUAAGUCGGUUGUGAAAGCCUUCCGCUCAACGGGAGAACAGCAUCCGAUACUGCAUGGCUUGAGUGCGGGAGGGGAGAGUGGAACUUCUGGUGGAGCGGUGAAAUGCGUAGAUAUCAGAAGGAACGCCGGCGGCGAAAGCGGCUCUCUGGCCCAUAACUGACGCUGAGUGUGCGAAAGCUAGGGGAGCAAACGGGAUUAGAUACCCCGGUAGUCCUAGCCGUAAACGAUGGGCACUAAGUAGAGGGGUUUUA